UCCCGUUGAUCCUGCGGGAGAUUGCUGCUAGUAGGAUUCGAUUAAGCCAUGCAAGUCAGGUAGCAAUACCGGCGACAUGCUCAGUAACACGUCGAUAACUUACCUUACGGUCAGGGAUAAGCUCGGGAAACUGAGUGUAAUACCUGAUAGGGGAUUGAUACUGGAAUGUACUUUCCCUGAAAUUCGUGCCGUAAGAUAGGUCGGCGGUGGAUUAGGCUGUUGGUGGGGUAAUGGCCCACCAAACCUUUGAUCCAUACGGGCCUUGAGAGAGGUAGCCCGGAGAGGGACACUGAAAUACUGGUCCCAGCCCUACGGGGUGCAGCAGGCGCGAAACCUCCACAAUGCACGAAAGUGUGAUGGGGGGAUCCUACGUGCCCAUGUUAAGCAUGGGCUUUUUGUUAAGAUUAGACCUCUUGGCGAAUAAGGGGUGGGCAAGACUGGUGCCAGCCGCCGCGGUAACACCAGCGCCCCGAGUGGCAAUCGCGUUUAUUGGGCCUAAAGCGUCCGUAGCCGGACUGAUAAAUCCGCUGUGAAAUGGUUGCGCUCAACGUAACCGCGUGCAGUGAAGACUGUCAGUCUCGAGACCGGGAGGAGUUAGAGGUAUGCCGUGGGGACCGGUAAAAUGGUAUAAUCCACGGUAGACCACCAAUGGCGAAGGCAUCUAACCAGAACGGAUCUGACGGUGAGGGACGAAAGCCAGGGGAGCGAACCGGAUUAGAUACCCGAGUAGUCCUGGCCGUAAACGCUGCGAGCAAGGUGUUGCCCAUCUCACGAGGGUGGGCAGUGUCGAAACGAAGGUGAUAAGCUCGCCGCCUGGGAAGUACGGUCGCAAGAUUGAAACUUUAAGGAAUUGGCGGGGGAGCACUACAAGGGGUGCGGCGUGCGGUUUAAUCUAACUCCACGCAGAGAACCUCACUAGUGGCGACGGCAGAAUGAAGGUCAGUCUGAAGGGCUUACCUGACGAGCCGAGAGGUAGUGCAUGGCCGCCGUCAGCUCGUGCCGUAAGGUGUCCAGCUAAGUCUGGUAACGAGCGAGACCUGCGCCCACAGUUGCUAACGAGACAUGUCGAUCGAGCACACUGUGGGGACUGCCUUCGUAAGAAGGAGGAAGGUGCAGGCUACGGUAGGUCUGUAUGCUCCGAAUCCACUAGGCUACACGCGCGCAACAAUGGCUGUGACAAUGGGAUGCAACACCGAGAGGUGAAGCUAAUCCUCUAAACGCAGUCUUAGUACAGAUUGAGGCUUGCAACCCAGCCUCAUGACGCCGGAAUCCCUAGUAAUCCGAUUUCAUCAUAUUCGGGUGAAUAUGUCCCUGCUCCUUGCACACACCCCCGUCAAACCAACCGAGCAGGUUUUAGGUGAAACCACAUUCCUUUGAUAUGGUUGAAUCUCAGAUCAGUGAGGUGGGUUAAGUCGUCACAAGGUA
This 1425-nucleotide ribosomal RNA is filed under the name metagenome. RNAcentral's name for it is "bacterial SSU rRNA". It matches the Rfam family "Archaeal small subunit ribosomal RNA". The record is from RNAcentral.